Molecule: long non-coding RNA, 1067 nt
Organism: Callorhinchus milii (elephant shark)
Lineage: Eukaryota; Metazoa; Chordata; Chondrichthyes; Chimaeriformes; Callorhinchidae
Exons: 8
Source: RefSeq, a predicted model, not a curated record
GGGGCCUCGCGGCGCCUCCCCGGUCUCUCCGGCCGCCGCUCGCGCUCCGGGACGGGGGUGUCCCGCGGUUCCCUCAGCGACGACACCGCGGAGGGAAAAAUCCAGCCCGAGGCCGAGGCAGCAAACUCGAACUUGGGUCGUCCGCGUAGCCCUACGUCUUGAAGCUAAUUUUCAUCGCUUCCUGGUGAUCGAGGAGGAUGGAUGGCUGCGAAACCUUCACCUAUUUUGUCCAGGAAGAAGUGCUGUGCUGCAGGACUGUGGGCGGCAUGAGUUCAGACAUCACGCCUCCAUGCCAAGCUAUGGGGUGUUUCUGGGACAAUUGGCACGAAUGCCACAGGACUUGAGGCAAAAGGAAACCAUUCCACAAACAGAGAAAUCUUGAACCUGAUCGUUGUUGGCUGCAUGUGUAUGGUGUGUCUGGGACAGUUGGCACAAAUGCCUCAGGAUUGGAGAAAAAGAAAACCAUACCAGAGAAAUUAUGAACUUAACUGUCGUUGGCCACAUGUGUAUGAUUGGGCCACACUGUCCAUGAUGGUAAUAAGAAAUACUGAGGACUGCGAUUGGAUUCUGGAAAUGUUUUUUGCGGCUUUUGAGUGCAGCAAACACGAACUAGGAUCAUCAAUGUAGGCUUCAGCCUUACAGCUAAUUUUCAUCGCUUCCUGAUGUUCAAUGAGGAUAGAUGUCUGGCACCCUGUCUUAUUUUGUCCAGGAAGAAGUGGUGCAUGACUGAGGAUAGCACGAGUUCAGACAUAAAGCCGCCAAGCUGUGGGGGUACGCGUGCCUUCUUUCGCCCAGGUUAAUCCACACAGACUAAUGAAAGUGAGGCAUCUGGAGCCGCUUUGGUACAAAUCAGAUGUUGCUAUUAAAAGCUAUGAUUGGACAGUGGUGACAGAUGAAAAAAGCUUUGAAGAAAGGAGUUGAAGUUCUGAGAUCAAGAUGUAUUGUGGAAAAUGUUGAUGAAAAGCAUUCCACCUUUUGUCUUUGCUAUGUGAUAGGGAAGUAUGUGUGUGAAUCUGUUAACACAAUGGUUAUUUCCUUGAUUCAAAAAUAAAACUAUUUUAAUCAAA